ACCCACGACAAAUCUUACCACUUCUUGCAUAUUCUAGUUCGUUAAAGUGAAGAUAAUUUAAUUUAUUUAUAAAUACUAUAACUAUAGUAUUCUGAAUGGAUUUUAACUUCCCUUAACAACACUUGAAUACAGGUGUUGCAUGGCUGUCUUUAGUUCGUGUUGUGAAAUGUUAGGUUCAUUCCGUGAACGAACGCAAUCCUUAUCUUUAAUUACAAUUAUAUUCCAUUCGAUGAAUGAAUACGAAAGUUGAAUUCAAUUUAAUUCAACUUUAAAAUGAAUGAGUUUAAUUAAAAUGAAUGAAUUAGUUGUUUAAUAAGUUCAAAUUCAUUUAUUGGUUGAAACGUUUUAAUUCCUUCAAUUCUUAUUUUAUUUUAAUAUAAUUUAAAAUGAAUGAAUUAAUUUAAAUUGUAAGUAACUAAUUUCAAUUGAAUUAAUAUUAACUAAAAUUAAAGAAGUAUCUUUUGAUAAGAAAGAAUAAUUAGGACGAAGACAAGUCCUCAUGACCCUUAUGGAGUGGGCUACAGACGUGCCACAAAGAUUUCUACAAUGGGAAGCAAAGAUCCAAGUCCGAGCAAAUCCUUAAAAGAA
RNAcentral lists this ribosomal RNA (588 nucleotides) under Pneumocystis sp. RNAcentral's name for it is "partial small subunit ribosomal RNA". It matches the Rfam family "Bacterial small subunit ribosomal RNA", at positions 957 to 1284 of the family's 1533-position model. Lineage: Eukaryota; Fungi; Ascomycota; Pneumocystomycetes; Pneumocystales; Pneumocystaceae. The record is from RNAcentral.